CCUACGGGAGGCAGCAGUGGGGAAUAUUGCACAAUGGGCGCAAGCCUGAUGCAGCCAUGCCGCGUGUAUGAAGAAGGCCUUCGGGUUGUAAAGUACUUUCAGCGGGGAGGAAGGUGUUGAGGUUAAUAACCUCAGCAAUUGACGUUACCCGCAGAAGAAGCACCGGCUAACUCCGUGCCAGCAGCCGCGGUAAUACGUAUGUCGCAAGCGUUAUCCGGAUUUAUUGGGCGUAAAGCGCACGCAGGCGGUCUGUCAAGUCGGAUGUGAAAUCCCCGGGCUCAACCUGGGAACUGCAUUCGAAACUGGCAGGCUGGAGUCUUGUAGAGGGGGGUAGAAUUCCAGGUGUAGCGGUGAAAUGCGUAGAGAUCUGGAGGAAUACCGGUGGCGAAGGCGGCCCCCUGGACAAAGACUGACGCUCAGGUGC
RNAcentral lists this ribosomal RNA (424 nucleotides) under uncultured Romboutsia sp. RNAcentral describes it as "bacterial SSU rRNA". It matches the Rfam family "Bacterial small subunit ribosomal RNA", at positions 338 to 754 of the family's 1533-position model. The record is from RNAcentral. Lineage: Bacteria; Bacillati; Bacillota; Clostridia; Peptostreptococcales; Peptostreptococcaceae.